GUCCUUUUGAGAUAAGUUUAAGGUCUAGCCUGCCCACUGAAUUUUAAAUGGCCGCAGUACCCUAACUGUGCAAAGGUAGCAUAAUAAUUAGUCUUUUAAUUGAAGGCUGGAAUGAACGGCUGGACGAGGUACUUUCUGUUUCAUAUAGAUUUAUGUUAGAAUUUUAUUUUUCAGUAAAAAAGCUGAAAUAGUUUUAAAAGACGAGAAGACCCUAUAAAUCUUUACAUACCUACAAAUUUGUGAAAUAGGAUUCGUUCUUGUAAAUUUAUUAGGGGUGUUUUAUUGGGGUGAUAUUAAAAUUUAAUAAACUUUUAACGUUAAGACCAUUAAUGUAUGAAAUGUUGAUCCGUCUAAGCGAUUAGUAAAUUAAGUUACUUUAGGGAUAACAGCGUAAUUUUUUUGGAGAGUUCAUAUCGAUAAAAAAGAUUGCGACCUCGAUGUUGGAUUAAGGAAUAAGUUUAGGCGUAGCCGUUUAAAUGAUGAGUCUGUUCGACUCUUAAACCCUU
Molecule: ribosomal RNA, 506 nt
Filed under: Tetanocera arnaudi
Lineage: Eukaryota; Metazoa; Arthropoda; Insecta; Diptera; Sciomyzidae
Description: partial 16S ribosomal RNA
Rfam family: Bacterial large subunit ribosomal RNA
Source: RNAcentral